CUGGUCCUGGCUGCCUUCGUGAUGUCGUGCUGUACCAAGUGCUUCAACUUACUCAUGUGAGAUUUUUGUGGUGAAUCCAAUGCUGGAAAAGAGCCCACAGGAGGAGAAACUUGGUUACACAAUCACAGUUGACAGUAUACAUAGCUCAGUUGUAUACAACUUGACUGGCAUGCAUGUGACCAUGUGCAUGAUGAAUCCGUGAUGGUGGACUGGAAAGCGCAGUGGAGACCACAAGAAGUUAGAUAAGCCAGGCUUGUGGAACAUCUGAGAAAAUCUGCAAGUAUACGGCAAAUCCAGCCAAAUAGUGAAGCCAUGAGAGCUGCACCCCUCCAGCAUUACCCGAGGGCCAGGACCCAAGCCAUUUGGGGCUAGCAUCAUCACAUCUAGCCCCAGGUCUGGACAUAUAGUUAUGGGAUUUAAUGUUUGUGCUCCUGUGUUCAG
This 441-nucleotide long non-coding RNA is filed under the name Fukomys damarensis (Damara mole-rat). RNAcentral describes it as "lncRNA (ENSFDAG00000027532.1)". Lineage: Eukaryota; Metazoa; Chordata; Mammalia; Rodentia; Bathyergidae. The record is from RNAcentral.